RNAcentral lists this unclassified non-coding RNA (400 nucleotides) under soil metagenome. Its description in RNAcentral is "partial contains 5.8S ribosomal RNA, internal transcribed spacer 2, and large subunit ribosomal RNA". The stretch from base 1 to 122 matches the Rfam family "5.8S ribosomal RNA", at positions 35 to 154 of the family's 154-position model. The record is from RNAcentral.
GAUGAAGAACGUAUCAAAAUGCGAUACUUGGUGUGAAUUGCAGAAUCCCGUGAACCAUCGAGUCUUUGAACGCAAGUUGCGCCUCAAGCCAUUAGGUUGAGGGCACGUCUGCCUGGGCGUCACAUAUCGUUGCCUGAUGCCAGUUUCCUCGUGAUGGGUGACUGUGCAGGGCGAAUGAUGGCUUCCCGUGAGCAUUGUUGCCUCAUGGUUGGUUGAAAAUUGAGUCCUUGGUAGGGAGCGCCGUGAUAGAUGGUGGUUGAGUGACGAACGAGACCCAAUCAUGUGAGACCCCUACCGAAUUUGGCCUUCAUGACCCACAUGCGUCUUUGGAACGCUCAUGACGAGACCUCAGGUCAGGCGGGGCUACCCGCUGAGUUUAAGCAUAUCAAUAAGCGGAGGA